This is a long non-coding RNA of Harpia harpyja (harpy eagle), 418 nucleotides long. RefSeq lists it as uncharacterized. The transcript has 2 exons. Lineage: Eukaryota; Metazoa; Chordata; Aves; Accipitriformes; Accipitridae. The record is from RefSeq and is a predicted model, not a curated record.
GUGCCGUAAACUCGGCGCCGUUGGAGCGUGGAAAAAGAAAUAAAGACCUGGCUGGAAUCACAACCUCCAUCCCCAAACACCCGGAUGCUGGAGUUGUAGCCAGCCCCACCCCGGAGCGGUUUCCUACUGAUAAGGGCAGGAGGCAAAGCCAGCAUCCCUCGGGAAGCAAACCCAGCAUCCCUCGGAAAACACGGCAGGCUUUCCUCCCCAGCACGUGCCACUCGCAGUCGCCCACCGCGGCCAUCGGCACCCACCCCUAGAGCCUAAAUCUGGUGAUUUCUCAACUUCAGCAGCCCAAUUCCCAAAGGCCCCUUGGUUCCGGCACGGUUAUCCCUGCCGGAUUCCCCGGCAGCAGGAAAUUUCCCCAUCAUCUGACUCACUGAAGCUUUAGAGGACAUGGGUAUGAGGGCUGUCGUAA